UUGGAAAUAUAUUUUUCUUAUAAAUUAAAUAAUUUUCCGUGUUUUUAUUCUUACGUGUGAGGCUCAUAUUUGGAAUACGUACACAUAUUUUUAAGUUUGUUUCCGUAAUCCACCAUGACUUAUAAAGGAUCAAUAUUGUAAAGCUUAUAUAUCUACAACCACAAGAACAACUUUCGGUUGGUCCGCGAGUAGUGGUGUUUACAACUAAUUGAUCACAACCAGUUACAGAUUUCUUUGUUCCUUCUCCACUCCCACUGCU
This 259-nucleotide small RNA is filed under the name Rattus norvegicus (Norway rat). Its description in RNAcentral is "Y3 small cytoplasmic RNA". The stretch from base 176 to 259 matches the Rfam family "Y RNA", at positions 1 to 78 of the family's 96-position model. The record is from RNAcentral. Lineage: Eukaryota; Metazoa; Chordata; Mammalia; Rodentia; Muridae.